GGCUUUAUUUCAACAUUAUAAAAAGGGAAUUGCAAUAUUACAUCUGGCUGACUACAACUAAAAAAUAAAACAAAAUAAGAAAAUUGCACUGAAACUCCACAACUUACAAGUUCAUUUCAAACAGAGUUGCUUUCCCCUCCAAGAAAACAAUCUGUUAACACAAGCAGGAGCAUUGACACUUUCAGAAACCUGAAAAGAGAGGACCUGUCUCCUAGAAUUUUCAAAAGAAGGGAGGAAUUUUACCAUGCCCCCCACGCCCUGAACCUCUAAUUGAAAUCAACCAUAGCCGUUCCCCGGCUGCCUUCCCACGCUCGACCCCGCGAGCUUGCCUGGCCAUUUCUCUAGUGCAUCUUUGUAGCCAUACUAACCUUGCUGUAUCCACCUACAAUUGUAGCCAUGCUGCUGAAUGGAGUGUAGUAGGGCAAGAACAUCAUGUCAAUGUCCAACACGACCGGCACGACCUUGGUGUCCCUGAAAUGUUGAUGUGUGCCCUGCAGGAUCUCCUGCCUGUUGUAGUCAUGCGCCCCACCAUUCUUUAAAAAUUGUGAUAUCUACUGAAAAAUUACAUCUGAUGCACUCUAAUUAGCCAGUAAGAACAUAUGUAAAUUUCUAAAAGCAUAUACCAACUUUUGGAAAUCUACAGUAAGGUGGGAAUAGUUGCUUAAUAGUUUAAUUUUAUGUGAAUUGUAAAUUCAGUAAAGGAAAAUGGAAGAAAAUAUUGUGCAAGUAUAGACUGUACAUUCCUCUAGAUAAAGCAAAGUCUUUGAGCACAACUUCUAAAUGUAUGUGUAUGCUCCAGUUUUUUGAAGCUUCACCUAUAUUUUAUUUUUAUAUAACCAAGACGAGACCAAGACCAUUGUCUUAUCCUUGACAUGCAAGGAGAAUUAAAAAUCCAUGGCCUAUAGCCUAUAAGACCAUAAUCGCAAAACCUCAUAUAAUCAACAUGCACAUUUCCUAAACAUUGCAGCAUAUCACUGUACCUAUAUAUGUAAGGGCCCAAAUUUAGUGUUUCAACCAAGUUUCAAGCCACACGAGUUCCCCCCAAAGAUACUUCCCUUGCUUCCAGUACUGAAGCAUACUGUUCGUAUUGUCUGAAAUCUCAGCUGCAAACAUCAUUGUCAGAAAAAAAAACAAGGCUUCUCGAUACAAGGGGCCAAAUCUAAAACUCAGAACAGAGUAGUAAACAGUAAAUUAACACAAUACCUCUUGUGUUAUGGAAUAGUAAUAUCAACUCGUGUGCAUCUACAGAUCUGGAAUAAUAAAAUUGAGAUCAAUACAUUAAUUCACACUUGAACAAGUUUUAGUUUUAAUCUACAUAGCAAAAAACCACUCGCGCUAUUGGAUAAGCCACAAUAUCGGGGUUCAAUUUGCAAACCUCGCAGAGCACAAAAGUUGUUCGUGCUUGAUCUUACCCACUUGGUUAUGCCCUUGUAACAGGAUGAUUCAGCAUAACCAAUACAAUUCAUCAGAAAAAGGAUUUAAGUGGGUGAGAGGAUCUGCACAAUCCACAAUUAGACAAUAGCUCAAACAUUCUGCAGAGUAACUGAAAGUUUUGGCACAGCAGUACACUCUCCGCCUGUUAAAUAUCUGAACAUUAUCUGGAAAAUAAAUAACACAACGAAGGCAUUGGGAGCGAGAUAGAUGUCACGCACAGAGCCACCUUGCGGAGGAGAUCGGGGCCGAGCUGCCUGCAGGGAGUACGACGGUGGUAGGGGUGGGACUUGAAGAUGAGAACGUCGACAGCAGAGGGCGGCAAUUGAAUGGGCCGUUCCCCAUAGCCACCUGCCUACACAAGCCUCGCGUGCCUCCUGCUCGCACGCACAGCAGUGCGGCCUCCAGCUCCUGCCCGCACACCCGCUUGCUCUACUGUUUAACUGCUCUAGAAGGGCGGCGCCACCACAAUGAAGACGAUGGUUGCGUUAGGAGCGGGAGAAGAGUGUCAGACGUCGGAUGGAGGUUCAUCGAGCAAAAGAGAGUUGGGGUGGGGCGGCGUCGUGUACAACCAGGACCGCAGCCACCACAACCAUGAUGUGAACGAGGAGGGCAACGAUGGUGGGAGGCA
Molecule: ribosomal RNA, 2062 nt
Filed under: Triticum aestivum (bread wheat)
Lineage: Eukaryota; Viridiplantae; Streptophyta; Magnoliopsida; Poales; Poaceae
Description: partial small subunit ribosomal RNA
Source: RNAcentral